UGGGGAAUUUUGGACAAUGGGCGAAAGCCUGAUCCAGCAAUGCCGCGUGUGUGAAGAAGGCCUUCGGGUUGUAAAGCACUUUUGUCCGGAAAGAAAUCCUUGGCUCUAAUACAGUCGGGGGAUGACGGUACCGGAAGAAUAAGCACCGGCUAACUACGUGCCAGCAGCCGCGGUAAUACGUAGGGUGCAAGCGUUAAUCGGAAUUACUGGGCGUAAAGCGUGCGCAGGCGGUUUGCUAAGACCGAUGUGAAAUCCCCGGGCUCAACCUGGGAACUGCAUUGGUGACUGGCAGGCUAGAGUAUGGCAGAGGGGGGUAGAAUUCCACGUGUAGCAGUGAAAUGCGUAGAGAUGUGGAGGAAUACCGAUGGCGAAGGCAGCCCCCUGGGCCAAUACUGACGCUCAUGCACGAAAAGCGUGGGGAGCAAACAGGAUUAGAUACCCUGGUAGUCCACGCCCUAAAACGAUGUCAACUAGUUGUUGGGGGACUUCAUUUUCCUUAGUAACGUAGCUAACGCGUGAAGUUGACCGCCUGGGGGAGUAACGGUCGCAAGAUUAAAAACUCAAAUGAAUUGACGGGGUCAUAGCU
RNAcentral lists this ribosomal RNA (586 nucleotides) under uncultured bacterium. RNAcentral's name for it is "partial 16S ribosomal RNA". It matches the Rfam family "Bacterial small subunit ribosomal RNA", at positions 355 to 926 of the family's 1533-position model. The record is from RNAcentral.